RNAcentral lists this ribosomal RNA (510 nucleotides) under uncultured Glomus. Its description in RNAcentral is "SSU rRNA". It matches the Rfam family "Eukaryotic small subunit ribosomal RNA", at positions 569 to 1082 of the family's 1831-position model. Lineage: Eukaryota; Fungi; Glomeromycota; Glomeromycetes; Glomerales; Glomeraceae. The record is from RNAcentral.
AGCAGCCGCGGUAAUUCCAGCUCCAAUAGCGUAUAUUAAAGUUGUUGCAGUUAAAAAGCUCGUAGUUGAAUUUCGGGAUCAAUAUGUUGGUCGUGCCUUGGUACGUACUGGCAUUAUUGGUUCCUACCUUCUGAAGAACCUCGAUGUCAUUAAUUUGGUGUCUUGGGGAAUCAGGACUGUUACUUUGAAAAAUUAGAGUGUUUAAAGCAGGCUCGCGCUUGAAUACAUUAGCAUGGAAUAAUGAAAUAGGACGUUUGAUUCUAUUUUGUUGGUUUCUAGGAUCGACGUAAUGAUUAAUAGGGAUAGUUGGGGGCAUUAGUAUUCAAUUGUCAGAGGUGAAAUUCUUGGAUUUAUUGAAGACUAACUACUGCGAAAGCAUUUGCCAAGGAUGUUUUCAUUAAUCAAGAACGAAAGUUAGGGGAUCGAAGACGAUCAGAUACCGUCGUAGUCUUAACCAUAAACUAUGCCGACUAGGGAUUGGAUGAUGUUAAUUUUUAAUGUACUCAUUCG